AGUGAACGCUGGCGGUAGGCCUAACACAUGCAAGUCGAACGGCAGCACGGUAAGAGCUUGCUCUUACGGGUGGCGAGUGGCGGACGGGUGAGGAAUACAUCGGAAUCUACUUUUUCGUGGGGGAUAACGUAGGGAAACUUACGCUAAUACCGCAUACGACCUACGGGUGAAAGCAGGGGAUCUUCGGACCUUGCGCGAUUGAAUGAGCCGAUGUCGGAUUAGCUAGUUGGCGGGGUAAAGGCCCACCAAGGCGACGAUCCGUAGCUGGUCUGAGAGGAUGAUCAGCCACGCUGGAACUGAGACACGGUCCAGACUCCUACGGGAGGCAGCAGUGGGGAAUAUUGGACAAAGGGCGCAAGCCUGAUCCAGCCAUACCGCGUGGGUGAAGAAGGCCUUCGGGUUGUAAAGCCCUUUUGUUGGGAAAGAAAAGCAGCAGGUUAAUACCCCGCUGUUCUGACGGUACCCAAAGAAUAAGCACCGGCUAACUUCGUG
This 492-nucleotide ribosomal RNA is filed under the name uncultured bacterium. Its description in RNAcentral is "partial 16S ribosomal RNA". It matches the Rfam family "Bacterial small subunit ribosomal RNA", at positions 29 to 507 of the family's 1533-position model. The record is from RNAcentral.